RNAcentral lists this ribosomal RNA (301 nucleotides) under uncultured bacterium. RNAcentral's name for it is "partial 16S ribosomal RNA". It matches the Rfam family "Archaeal small subunit ribosomal RNA", at positions 459 to 760 of the family's 1478-position model. The record is from RNAcentral.
CAGCCGCCACGGGAAAACCAGCACCUCGAGUGGUCAGGAGGUUUAUUGGGCCUAAAGCAUCCGUAGCCGGUUGCAUAAGUUUUCGGUUAAAUCUAUGCGCUUAACGUAUAGGCCGCCGAAAAUACUGUGCAGCUAGGGAGUGGGAGAGGUACACGGUACUCGAUAGGAAGGGGUAAAAUCCUUUGAUCUAUUGAUGACCACCUGUGGCGAAGGCGGUGUACCAGAACACGUUCGACGGUGAGGGAUGAAAGCUGGGGGAGCAAACCGGAUUAGAUACCCGCGUAGUCCCUGUCUCUUAUAC